RNAcentral lists this ribosomal RNA (140 nucleotides) under uncultured eukaryote. RNAcentral's name for it is "partial 18S ribosomal RNA". It matches the Rfam family "Eukaryotic small subunit ribosomal RNA", at positions 1299 to 1458 of the family's 1831-position model. The record is from RNAcentral.
UGGUGGAGUGAUUUGUCUGGUUAAUUCUGUUAACGAACGAGACCUCGACCUGCUAAAUAGUACAAGCGUAGUUACGGCUAUGCUUGGACUUCUUAGAGGGACUGUCGGCUUCUCGCCGAAGGAAGUUCGAGGCAAUAACA